AGGUCCACAAAGCAAAAGAACAACCAGGUCUGCCACCUCAAGGUCCCAAGCUGCAGAUUCAGGAGAAGCAGUGUCUUCAGAUCGUCGUUUUCUCUAAAUGGACCCAACAAAUAUGAAUACAACAUGCCCCAGGAAACACAGCAGAAGACACUUAGUGAAGAAAAUUAUCUGCAGCAACAGAAGCACAGAUGGUGUAGUGGUUAGCAUUACUGCCUCACAGCACUGAUGUCAUGGGUUCGAUUCCCACCAUGGCCCUAACUGUGUGGAGUUUGUAUAUUCUCCCCGUACUUGCGUGGGUUUCCUUCGGCUACUCCGUUUUCCUCCCACAAUCCCAAAAUAAACUGGUAGGUUAAUUGGCUCCCAACAAAAAUUAACCCUAGCGUGAAUGUGUCUUUGUGUACAUGUGAUAGGGAAUAUAGAUUGUAAGCCCAUUGGGGCUGGGACUGAUGUGAAUGGGCAAAAUAUUCUCUGUACUGCGCUGCGGAAUAUGUGUGCGCUAUAUAAAUAACUGGUAAUAAAAUAAUAAUAAUAACAGCAGCCUCCUUCACCAACCAGAACAAGCUCAGCCACAAUGAGGACAUCACCGACAAAUACACAACCAACUGCUCAACUACAAA
Molecule: long non-coding RNA, 617 nt
Organism: Pseudophryne corroboree (corroboree frog)
Lineage: Eukaryota; Metazoa; Chordata; Amphibia; Anura; Myobatrachidae
Exons: 3
Source: RefSeq, a predicted model, not a curated record